RNAcentral lists this ribosomal RNA (627 nucleotides) under Tamphilus amplicollis. RNAcentral describes it as "SSU rRNA". It matches the Rfam family "Eukaryotic small subunit ribosomal RNA", at positions 6 to 611 of the family's 1831-position model. The record is from RNAcentral. Lineage: Eukaryota; Metazoa; Arthropoda; Insecta; Coleoptera; Curculionidae.
GGUUGAUCCUGCCAGUAGUCAUAUGCUUGUCUCAAAGAUUAAGCCAUGCAUGUCUCAGUACAAGCCAAAUUAAGGUGAAACCGCGAAAGGCUCAUUAAAUCAGUUAUGGUUCCUUAGAUCGUACCCACAAUUACUUGGAUAACUGUGGUAAUUCUAGAGCUAAUACAUGCAAACAGAGCUCCGACCGGAGACGGAAGGAGUGCUUUUAUUAGAUCAAGACCAAUCGGUGGCGGGUUCGCUCGUCAUCGUACAACUUGGUGACUCUGAAUAACUUUACGCUGAUCGCACGGUCACCGCACCGGCGACGCAUCUUUCAAAUGUCUGCCUUAUCAACUGUCGAUGGUAGGUUCUGCGCCUACCAUGGUUGUAACGGGUAACGGGGAAUCAGGGUUCGAUUCCGGAGAGGGAGCCUGAGAAACGGCUACCACAUCCAAGGAAGGCAGCAGGCGCGCAAAUUACCCACUCCCGGCACGGGGAGGUAGUGACGAAAAAUAACGAUACGGGACUCAUCCGAGGCCCCGUAAUCGGAAUGAGUACACUCUAAACCCUUUAACGAGGAUCAAUUGGAGGGCAAGUCUGGUGCCAGCAGCCGCGGUAAUUCCAGCUCCAAUAGCGUAUAUUAAAGUU